Long non-coding RNA from Culex quinquefasciatus (southern house mosquito), 1007 nucleotides. RefSeq lists it as uncharacterized. The transcript has 3 exons. The record is from RefSeq and is a predicted model, not a curated record. Lineage: Eukaryota; Metazoa; Arthropoda; Insecta; Diptera; Culicidae.
CAUAGUUGCCGUUGGGUGUCGCCACCAGUCUGAGACUUAGACGUCAGACCGAAAAAACACGUGUCAACAAAAAGCAGCAAAUUCUUCGUUCAUUUCUAUAGUUUGUGAGUAUUUUGCGGUUUCCCAUUUAAUUUGGCUAAAAAAACCCAAACAGAACCUUUUGAUCAUCGUGACAAUCCGUUCCGGAACUUGGUGCCGUCACCUUUCACCAGCCUGCACAGCUGCGCAACAAAAAGUCCCCUUCCCGCUGGGGCCCAGUUCCUAAGCAACUUGUGCUCAUUUCUCGUCUCGAGUCCAUCCAAUCACUGGCCAUUUCAGGCAAGUCCCAACGUGACCCUAGAGACGGUGCUAAAGGCAAAAGAACCACUAACUGGCGCUCGUCUGCGCGAAGUCAAGCCCAAGGACCAAGAGCGAUUAACAAGAGCCUGGCGCGAUCGCCAGGCUUGACCCAGCGGUCGCCCAGAGCCUCGACGAACCCGCCCGAAGUCCCACGGUCCGGAUGUCGUCCUAGGACAGAUUGGAUAAGGACAGACUCCACACCGGCUCUAAGAAGCGAAAGUCCGUGAGACCACGUUCGGUGACGGCAUUUUUUGAUGUUCCGGACGUCGAGCACGAAAUGUUGAGGAUGGUGAUCUGCUUACGCGGAAUGGGUCGUUUGAAAUGACAUUCAGUACGUGGAUCCGGAUGGUGGGAGUCAAUGGACAAUAUGAAGCGGAAGUCGGUAUAUAAAAUACAAGUUGCGUGACGUGUUGCCGGUGACGGUUAUGUUUUUGCCUGAGUAACGCUGCCAAACUUCCCGUCACACCCGGGAAGAACGAUGACCGUUGCAGCAGCCCGACGGACCGGAGGAACCGGUUGAACCUUGUGCACCUAGGGAGUCCGGUACUCCUCGUCGCUGCCGAUGAGUGCCACUAGCAGUACAUGAAAUUCUGUAUCAUUUUCGUUUACUCCACCAGUGCAACAACCAGCAGUUUUUCUUCGAAGAUUAUAGUGCAGCCGUCCCUUAA